UGCAGCCCUGUCAAAUUCAGUCCUGGCCUCCUCUGUGGCAGGGACUGGCCAGCCAGCUGCCACAGCAACCUCUGUAGUGUGUGAGCCCCACAUCCCCCGCUGUGGGACCCCAGGGAUAAAAACACACCACAGACAUUG
Falco tinnunculus (common kestrel) is the source of this 138-nucleotide small nucleolar RNA. NCBI's taxonomy places the organism in Eukaryota, Metazoa, Chordata, Aves, Falconiformes, Falconidae. The record is from Ensembl.